UGGCUGUUGAUCAUCCUGGACUCAGAUGC
Molecule: non-coding RNA, 29 nt
Filed under: Homo sapiens (human)
Lineage: Eukaryota; Metazoa; Chordata; Mammalia; Primates; Hominidae
Source: RNAcentral